GAGUUUGAUCAUGGCUCAGAUUGAACGCUGGCGGCAGGCCUAACACAUGCAAGUCGAGCGGCAGCACGGGGAGCUUGCUCCCUGGUGGCGAGCGGCGGACGGGUGAGUAAUGCAUGGGAAUCUGCCCGGUAGUGGGGGAUAACCCGGGGAAACCCGGGCUAAUACCGCAUACGUCCUACGGGAGAAAGCAGGGGAUCUUCGGACCUUGCGCUAUCGGAUGAGCCCAUGUCGGAUUAGCUUGCUGGUGAGGUAACGGCUCACCAGGGCGACGAUCCGUAGCUGGUCUGAGAGGAUGAUCAGCCACACCGGGACUGAGACACGGCCCGGACUCCUACGGGAGGCAGCAGUGGGGAAUAUUGGACAAUGGGGGAAACCCUGAUCCAGCCAUGCCGCGUGUGUGAAGAAGGCUUUCGGGUUGUAAAGCACUUUCAGCGGGGAAGAAGGCAUGGCGGCUAAUACCCGCCAUGAAGGACAUCACCCGCAGAAGAAGCACCGGCUAACUCCGUGCCAGCAGCCGCGGUAAUACGGAGGGUGCAAGCGUUAAUCGGAAUUACUGGGCGUAAAGGGCGCGUAGGCGGCCUGCAAAGCCGGAUGUGAAAGCCCCGGGCUCAACCCGGGAACGGCAUUCGGAACUGGCAGGCUAGAGUGCAGGAGAGGAAGGUGGAAUUCCCGGUGUAGCGGUGAAAUGCGUAGAGAUCGGGAGGAAUACCAGUGGCGAAGGCGGCCUUCUGGACUGACACUGACGCUGAGGCGCGAAAGCGUGGGUAGCAAACAGGAUUAGAUACCCUGGUAGUCCACGCCGUAAACGAUGUCGACCAGCCGUUGGACCCCCUGAGG
RNAcentral lists this ribosomal RNA (837 nucleotides) under uncultured bacterium. RNAcentral describes it as "bacterial SSU rRNA". It matches the Rfam family "Bacterial small subunit ribosomal RNA", at positions 9 to 837 of the family's 1533-position model. The record is from RNAcentral.